This 483-nucleotide ribosomal RNA is filed under the name uncultured bacterium. RNAcentral describes it as "partial 16S ribosomal RNA". It matches the Rfam family "Bacterial small subunit ribosomal RNA", at positions 28 to 507 of the family's 1533-position model. The record is from RNAcentral.
GACGAACGCUGGCGGCGUGCUUAACACAUGCAAGUCGAACGCUGAAGCUCAGCUUUUGUUGGGUGGAUGAGUGGCGAACGGGUGAGUAACACGUGAGUAACCUGCCCCCUUCUUUGGGAUAACGCCCGGAAACGGGUGCUAAUACUGGAUAUUCACUGGUCUUCGCAUGGGGGUUGGUGGAAAGGGUUUUUCUGGUGGGGGAUGGGCUCGCGGCCUAUCAGCUUGUUGGUGGGGUGAUGGCCUGCCAAGGCUUUGACGGGUAGCCGGCCUGAGAGGGUGACCGGUCACAUUGGGACGGAGAUACGGCCCAGACUCCUACGGGAGGCAGCAGUGGGGAAUAUUGCACAAUGGGCGCAAGCCUGAUGCAGCGACGCCGCGUGAGGGAUGGAGGCCUUCGGGUUGUGAACCUCUUUCGCUCAUGGUCAAGCCGCAACAAUGGUUGUGGUGAGGGUAGUGGGUAAAGAAGCGCCGGCUAACUACGUG